Sorghum bicolor (sorghum) is the source of this 973-nucleotide long non-coding RNA. RefSeq lists it as uncharacterized. The record is from RefSeq and is a predicted model, not a curated record. NCBI's taxonomy places the organism in Eukaryota, Viridiplantae, Streptophyta, Magnoliopsida, Poales, Poaceae. The transcript has 4 exons.
CCGCCUCCGUAGCAUCCACGCCGAUGCCUGCCUGCCCGCCUCCACACCCUCGUCCCUGCCACCGCCGGCUGCCUAGCUCCUGAUGCCGCCCACCGUGGAGGUCCGUUCUCAUUCACUCUCUCUCUCUCUCUCAUUGCAGAUCUAGAUCGACUAGAGCUUCCCAGCAAAUGGGGGCAGCGGCGGCGGUGGCCCCUUCCCUCCCACGAUGAUGCCCCAUUCUGCUCACUCGAGCCCGGUAGUGGUGGCGGCAGGCCCCUCCCGUCCCACCUCAUGGCCACGUUGACAGCCAGCAGCGACUAAUCAUCCCCUAGGGAAGUGGUGGUGGCAACGCCCUCUUGCCCCUCCCUCGGUGUGGCGAGCACGGAGCUUAAUUGGUAGACGAUCCCGACCCCUCACUGCGGGCGCUCAUCGACCAGGUGCGCCAUGGGAAGGUGGAUGCCGCCCACGAGUGCUGCAUCGUCACACUCUCCCUCAUACGUAUGAGGUUCACCUUAACCCCAAUAUGCAGAGAAAAUUUGUGUAUUUUACAACGAAAUUGCAACAAGACGACUCCACAAAGAGUGACCGGCGAGGCUGCAGCCUGCAAUCCCCAGCAACCCAACCGCGAGGUGAACUUUAGUCCAAAGGCGCUAUUGCCUAGCUAUCCCUGCUAAAUGGCAUUAGACUAUCCGGAAAUCGUCGCGAAGCUUCAGACCCAGGUGCUCUUCCUAUCCAUGUAGUGGGUCCUUGGCUACUAAAGUUUCACAUUUUAGAAGGUGUAGAACACUUUGGUAUUGUACAGUUUAGUGAUUUCACUUAGCACUAGAGGAUGGUUGUGUAUUUUAAGCUUUCACCUAAUUUUUGGUGGCUUCCAUGGAUAUCAAGUGCUAGUUACAUAUGUGGAGACAAGCAUAGUUUGAUUUUUAAGUGACAUGAUUGCAUAUGAACUUGAGUUCGACAAUUGAUUAUGUCUGAUGUCAUCGUUUGUGUAUUA